GACGAACGCUGGCGGCGUGCUUAACACAUGCAAGUCGAACGGAAAGGCCCCAGCUUGCUGGGGUACUCGAGUGGCGAACGGGUGAGUAACACGUGGGUGAUCUGCCCUGCACUCUGGGAUAAGCCUAGGAAACUGGGUCUAAUACCGGAUAGGAGCGUGCGUUAGUGUGUGCGGUGGAGAGUUUUUCGGUGCAGGAUGAGCCCGCGGCCUAUCAGCUUGUUGGUGGGGUAAUGGCCUACCAAGGCGGCGACGGGUAGCCGGCCUGAGAGGGUGUCCGGCCACAUUGGGACUGAGAUACGGCCCAGACUCCUACGGGAGGCAGCAGUGGGGAAUAUUGCACAAUGGGCGCAAGCCUGAUGCAGCGACGCCGCGUGGGGGAUGACGGCCUUCGGGUUGUAAACCCCUUUCGGCAGGGACGAAGCUUUUGUGACGGUACCUGCAUAAGAAGCACCGGCUAACUACGUG
RNAcentral lists this ribosomal RNA (465 nucleotides) under uncultured bacterium. Its description in RNAcentral is "partial 16S ribosomal RNA". It matches the Rfam family "Bacterial small subunit ribosomal RNA", at positions 28 to 507 of the family's 1533-position model. The record is from RNAcentral.